UUUUUAUUGCUUUACCUUUAUCUACUUUACUUUCCCGCACUGUCUUUACUUUAUUUAUUUCCCGCACUGUCUUUCUUUUAUUUAUUUUCCGCACUCGCACUACUUUUAUUUAUUUCUCGCACUCGCACUACUUUUAUUUAUUUUCCGCACUCGCACUACUUUUAUUUAUUUUCCGCACUCGCACUACUUUUAUUUAUUUCUCGCACUCACACUACUUUUA
Molecule: long non-coding RNA, 220 nt
Filed under: Lathyrus oleraceus (garden pea)
Lineage: Eukaryota; Viridiplantae; Streptophyta; Magnoliopsida; Fabales; Fabaceae
Description: Pisum sativum (pea) long non-coding RNA (PSAT_LNC041453)
Source: RNAcentral